Molecule: ribosomal RNA, 402 nt
Filed under: uncultured bacterium
Lineage: Bacteria
Description: bacterial SSU rRNA
Rfam family: Bacterial small subunit ribosomal RNA
Source: RNAcentral
AGGGAAUAUUAGUAAUGGGCGAAAGCCUGAACUAGCAACGCCGCGUGUGCGAAGAAGGCCUUCGGGUUGUAAAGCACUUUUUGAGAGGAUGAGGAAGGACGGUACUCUCAGAAUAAGUCUCGGCUAACUACGUGCCAGCAGCCGCGGUAACACGUAGGAGGCAAACGUUAUCCGGAUUUACUGGGCGUAAAGCGCGUGUAGGUGGUUUGGUAAGUAGGGCGUGAAAGCUCCUGGCUCAACUGGGAGAGGACGUUCUAAACUGCCAAGCUUGAGGAUGGUAGAGGGAGGUGGAAUUCCGGGUGUGGCGGUGGAAUGCGCAGAUAUCCGGAGGAACACCAGUGGCGAAGGCGGCCUCCUGGACCACCCCUGACACUCAGACGCGAAAGCUAGGGUAGCAAACGG